RNAcentral lists this ribosomal RNA (393 nucleotides) under uncultured bacterium. RNAcentral describes it as "partial 16S ribosomal RNA". It matches the Rfam family "Bacterial small subunit ribosomal RNA", at positions 523 to 918 of the family's 1533-position model. The record is from RNAcentral.
AUACGGAGGAUCCGAGCGUUAUCCGGAUUUAUUGGGUUUAAAGGGUGCGCAGGCGGGAGAUUAAGUCGGCGGUGAAAUUUUGCAGCUCAACAGUAAAAGUGCCUUCGAAACUGGUUUCCUUGAGUGUAGAUGAAGUAGGCGGAAUUUGUGGUGUAGCGGUGAAAUGCAUAGAUAUCACGAGGAACUCCGAUUGCGCAGGCAGCUUACUAAACUACUACUGACGCUCAGGCACGAAGGCGUGGGGAUCAAACAGGAUUAGAUACCCUGGUAGUCCACGCAGUAAACGAUGAUUACUAGCUGUUUGCGAUACAAUGUAAGCGGCUGAGCGAAAGCGUUAAGUAAUCCACCUGGGGAGUACGUUCGCAAGAAUGAAACUCAAAGGAAUUGACGGGG